Molecule: non-coding RNA, 1386 nt
Organism: Paralichthys olivaceus (Japanese flounder)
Lineage: Eukaryota; Metazoa; Chordata; Actinopteri; Pleuronectiformes; Paralichthyidae
Source: RefSeq, a predicted model, not a curated record
CGGAGACAAAAGGUGAAAAGCUGUAUAGAUGUUGGUGUUAGUCAGGUGGGUUGGUAGAGAGUAGAAUAAUGGAAUCAAUACUAUUGUCUGUAACCUACCUGCCGCUGGGCUCUCUGUCUGGCCCCAGCAGAGACCAUCAGAGAGAGAGAGGGAGAGGGAGGGAGCUGAGAGGAAACACAGAUUCACUCUGAGCAGAAAAGAAAAGAAGACGCUGACUUGAAGGUGGACUGAUGUCGCAGAUGCCCUCCCUGUCCUGCUCUUCAUCUUCGUCUUCGCAACCAUUGCAAACUGUUUUAAUCAUAACUGAAUGUUGUGGAUCUCGUGUCUAGAAAAUGAUCAAGAAAUAAAGAUAAAUGCCCCUUUCCAAUAUUGAUAUGUUAAGUUUUAAGAUAAAUAUUUGGCUAUGUAUGUAUAAAGAGUUUUAGUUAGGAUACUUGUUAGUCAUUUUUUUGGAAGGCAAGUUAAAUGAAAGCCUGUUAUAGUUCUACUAUUAUCUUUAUUACAUAUGUGUGAGAUCACUGAGCUCUGAACAGCUAGACUCAGUAUAAGCUCAAUAAGUCCCAUUCAAAAUACCCUCGUCAUUUACCAACAGUUUAAAAUACAUUGUUCCUCUUAAUUGAUUGCGUCUCCCCCACAAUGUGCUCAACUGCUGCAUUGCUGAGCUCAUUAAAUGUUGCUCAGCAAAACAAAAGACGAUUGUGGGGGAAAUGCAGACAAAUACGUCAGGAUUAUGUUUUAAUUUAACUGAUCGGUUUUGCUUCUGAUCUGCAGCAAACCAGGGAGACCGCUCGCUGCUGCAGAAUCCAAACGUUAGAUGAGGUCAUGUCUUUGUCUGGGUGCAGCGACUCUGCGGUUCCUAUUUUUUAAUACGUUUCAUCUCACCGAUGUUUCUUUUUUUCACAUUCAGUUGCUCUAUAUUUAAACCCGCCCUGUGUAUUUUAAUUUCACAGUAUGCCCCUCUGUCCCUGAGACCCUUAACCUGUGAGGUCAAAGCAGGUCACAGGUGAGGUCCUCGGGAACAGGGCUGCAUUCAGUUUCAACGUCCCGUAAAAGAGAAGAAGUUUGUUCAAGGUUUUCACAUGAUAAACGUCUGUUCGAUAUUUAAACCACUGAUGCCUGUUAGUAUCCAGCUGUAUGUCUCCUCAGACUGAUUCAGCAUGUUUUCCUGUCAUGUCAUGAUCGAGACGCGUCAGGUUGGACAAGAAGACGAUGAUCCCUCCACCUGCUGCACAGUCGCUCUCAGGGGGCCAACCCUAUUGGCUGGCUUUGUGUUACAGCCCUCACUGGGGGCCAAUAGGAAGACAGCCAAGGGUUGUGACCCCGUCAUAUAUCACCUUCAGUUAUUGCUACAUCAUGUGCAUGUUUGCAUAUAUUCAUCUUGCUGUG